RNAcentral lists this ribosomal RNA (468 nucleotides) under uncultured bacterium. RNAcentral describes it as "partial 16S ribosomal RNA". It matches the Rfam family "Bacterial small subunit ribosomal RNA", at positions 28 to 507 of the family's 1533-position model. The record is from RNAcentral.
GACGAACGCUAGCGGCGUGCUUAACACAUGCAAGUCGAACGGAAAGGCUCCAGCUUGCUGGAGUACUCGAGUGGCGAACGGGUGAGUAACACGUGGGUGAUCUGCCCUGCACUUCGGGAUAAGCCUGGGAAACUGGGUCUACUACCGGAUAGGACCGCACUUUGGUGUGUGUGGUGGACAGGUUUUUCUGGUGUGGGAUGAGCUCGCGGCCUAUCAGUUUGUUGGUGGGGUAAUGGCCUACCAAGACGGCGACGGGUAGCCGGCCUGAGAGGGUGGACGGUCACAUUGGGACUGAGAUACGGCCCAGACUCCUACGGGAGGCAGCAGUGGGGAAUAUUGCACAAUGGGGGAAACCCUGAUGCAGCGACGCCGCGUGGGGGAUGAAGGCCUUCGGGUUGGAAACUCCUUUCGCUAGGGACGAAGCUUUUUGUGACGGUACCUGGAGAAGAAGCACCGGCUAACUACGUG